This 253-nucleotide ribosomal RNA is filed under the name uncultured bacterium. Its description in RNAcentral is "partial 16S ribosomal RNA". It matches the Rfam family "Bacterial small subunit ribosomal RNA", at positions 524 to 776 of the family's 1533-position model. The record is from RNAcentral.
UACGUAGGGGGCUAGCGUUGUCCGGAUUUAUUGGGCGUAAAGAGCGUGUAGGCGGCCAGGUAGGUCUGGUGUGAAAACUCGAGGCUUAACCUCGAGAUGUCAUCGGAAACCAUCUGGCUAGAGUCCGGAAGAGGAGAGUGGAAUUCCUGGUGUAGCGGUGAAAUGCGCAGAUAUCAGGAAGAACACCAAUGGCGAAAGCAGCUCUCUGGGACGGUACUGACGCUGAGACACGAAAGCCAGGGGAGCAAACGGG